RNAcentral lists this transfer RNA (69 nucleotides) under Diapteron cyanostictum (Gabon jewelfish). RNAcentral describes it as "Aphyosemion cyanostictum (Gabon jewelfish) tRNA-Ala". It matches the Rfam family "tRNA". From Rfam's summary of the family: Transfer RNA (tRNA) molecules are approximately 80 nucleotides in length. Their secondary structure includes four short double-helical elements and three loops (D, anti-codon, and T loops). Further hydrogen bonds mediate the characteristic L-shaped molecular structure. tRNAs have two regions of fundamental functional importance: the anti-codon, which is responsible for specific mRNA codon recognition, and the 3' end, to which the tRNAs corresponding amino acid is attached (by aminoacyl-tRNA synthetases). tRNAs cope with the degeneracy of the genetic code in two manners: having more than one tRNA (with a specific anti-codon) for a particular amino acid; and 'wobble' base-pairing, i.e. permitting non-standard base-pairing at the 3rd anti-codon position. The record is from RNAcentral. Lineage: Eukaryota; Metazoa; Chordata; Actinopteri; Cyprinodontiformes; Nothobranchiidae.
AAGGCUUUAGCUUAAUUAAAGUGUCUGUUUUGCAUGCAGAAGAUGUGGGUUAGAAUCCUGUUAGUCUUA